This is a long non-coding RNA of Camelina sativa (false flax), 485 nucleotides long. RefSeq lists it as uncharacterized. The record is from RefSeq and is a predicted model, not a curated record. NCBI's taxonomy places the organism in Eukaryota, Viridiplantae, Streptophyta, Magnoliopsida, Brassicales, Brassicaceae.
CAACUCGCGAUCAUGAAGACGAGUGGCCUAGGCUAGUGACCACAUUGCACAUAUCGUGGGGUGCUAAGCUUAAGGUCUUCCCAAGAGGAAGAGCUUGCGUCAUUAUUUGUGGCAGAGGGGGUUUGCGUUCGCGCAGCCCCUACCAUAUGACCAGAGUCCCACAUCGGAAGCACAUAUAAAGUUGAUGGGUAUUGUGUGACUAUAAAAGAAGGAGGCUCUCGUUAUGUAAAAACCAUCUUUGCGCUUGGGGCAAUGACGCAGCUAAUGAGGUUCUAACCGAGGCGCGUCUAUUGCUGGUUGAAAACUAUUUCCAAACCCCCUCCUAGGCCUUUGCUUGUCUUUGGCCUUCGAGAAUUUCUGGAAGAGCUCCCUUCGGGGUAAAGCUCUACAAUUCCUAGUAUCAAUCUUAUAUCUUUUAAAAUGUUGGCUUAUCUCCAAUUUUAAAAUGAUGUGUGUAUCGUCGUUUGCUAAACACAGUUUUUGCU